RNAcentral lists this ribosomal RNA (253 nucleotides) under uncultured bacterium. RNAcentral describes it as "partial 16S ribosomal RNA". It matches the Rfam family "Bacterial small subunit ribosomal RNA", at positions 524 to 776 of the family's 1533-position model. The record is from RNAcentral.
UACGUAGGGGGCAAGCGUUGUCCGGAAUUAUUGGGCGUAAAGCGCGUGUAGGCGGCCAGAUAAGUCCGCUGUGAAAUCUCGAGGCUCAACUUCGAGCUGUCGGUGGAAACUGUCUGGCUAGAGUCCGGAAGAGGAGAAUGGAAUUCCUGGUGUAGCGGUGAAAUGCGCAGAUAUCAGGAAGAACACCUAUGGCGAAGGCAGCUCUCUGGGACGGUACUGACGCUGAGACGCGAAAGCGUGGGGAGCGAACAGG